GCUUAAUUAGUAUAAAAAGUAUUAUAGACUUCCAAUCUGUAGGUCCCAAAACUUAGGAUUAAGCA
Molecule: transfer RNA, 65 nt
Filed under: Megabalanus tintinnabulum
Lineage: Eukaryota; Metazoa; Arthropoda; Thecostraca; Balanomorpha; Balanidae
Description: tRNA-Gly
Source: RNAcentral